CCUACGGUGGACAGCAGUGAGGAAUAUUGGUCAAUGGGCGGAAGCCUGAACCAGCCAAGUCGCGUGAGGGAAUAAGGCCCUACGGGUCGUAAACCUCUUUUGCCGGGGAGCAAGGGCGGGGACGUGUCCCGGCCCGGAGAGUACCCGGAGAAAAAGCAUCGGCUAACUCCGUGCCCGCAGCCGCGGUAAUACGGAGGAUGCGAGCGUUAUCCGGAUUUAGUGGGUUUAAAGGGUGCGUAGGCGGGCUUUUAAGUCAGCGGUAAAAAUUCGGGGCUCAACCCCGUCCGGCCGUUGAAACUGGGGGCCUUGAGUGGGCGAGAAGAAGGCGGAAUGCGUGGUGUAGCGGUGAAAUGCAUAGAUAUCACGCAGAACCCCGAUUGCGAAGGCAGCCUUCCGGCGCCCUACUGACGCUGAGGCACGAAAGUGCGGGGAUCGAACAGGAUUAGAUACCCUUGUAGUC
RNAcentral lists this ribosomal RNA (460 nucleotides) under uncultured bacterium. RNAcentral describes it as "partial 16S ribosomal RNA". It matches the Rfam family "Bacterial small subunit ribosomal RNA", at positions 338 to 795 of the family's 1533-position model. The record is from RNAcentral.